CCCUUAGAUGUCCUGGGCCGCACGCGCGCUACACUGAUGCAUUCAACGAGUUUUACCUUGGCCGAGAGGCCUGGGCAAUCUUUUGAACCUGCAUCGUGAUAGGGAUAGAUUAUUGCAAUUAUUAAUCUUGAACGAGGAAUUCCUAGUAAACGCAGAUCAUCAAUCUGCAUUGAUUACGUCCCUGCCCUUUGUACACACCGCCCGUCGCACCUACCGAUUGAAUGGUCCGGUGAAGCCUCGGGAUUGUGGCGAAUUCCCUUUAUUGGGAGUUUGUCGCGAGAACUUGUCUAAACCUUAUCAUUUAGAGGAAGGUGAAGUCGUAACA
RNAcentral lists this ribosomal RNA (325 nucleotides) under uncultured eukaryote. RNAcentral describes it as "partial 18S ribosomal RNA". It matches the Rfam family "Eukaryotic small subunit ribosomal RNA", at positions 1470 to 1796 of the family's 1831-position model. The record is from RNAcentral.